This is a non-coding RNA of Triticum aestivum (bread wheat), 125 nucleotides long. The record is from Rfam. NCBI's taxonomy places the organism in Eukaryota, Viridiplantae, Streptophyta, Magnoliopsida, Poales, Poaceae.
AAACUACUCCCUCCGUCCGGAAUUACUUGUCGCAGAAAUGGAUAAAAAUGAACGUAUCUAGAACUAAAAUACGUCUAGAUACAUCUAUUUCCGCGACAAAUAAUUCCGGAUGGAGGGAGUACUUU